AGAUGUGAUCAUACCAGCACUAAAGCACCGGAUCCCAUCAGAACUCCGAAGUUAAGCGUGCUUGGGCGAGAGUAGUACUAGGAUGGGUGACCUCCUGGGAAGUCCUCGUGUUGCAUUCC
This 119-nucleotide ribosomal RNA is filed under the name Triticum aestivum (bread wheat). The record is from RNAcentral. Lineage: Eukaryota; Viridiplantae; Streptophyta; Magnoliopsida; Poales; Poaceae. RNAcentral also lists the same sequence under 1 other name.